Molecule: RNA transcript, 1885 nt
Organism: Triticum dicoccoides
Lineage: Eukaryota; Viridiplantae; Streptophyta; Magnoliopsida; Poales; Poaceae
Exons: 6
Source: RefSeq, a predicted model, not a curated record
AAACGCCUUGAACUCCACCCCUUCUCUCCAGUCACACGCAACCUCUCCUUUCCUCUCCAAUCUCUCUCGUUUUUCAUUCACAUCGGCAAGGGUUGCCGCCGCCGCCGCGCUCACGCCCCAAAUUUUCUCCCCCCUUCCCCGAUCCCGCAGCGGCCGCCUCUGCUGCUCCUGCGCAUGGUCGCCGCCGCCUCUGCUGCUCCCGCGCGUGGUCGUCGCGGCCUCUCCUCCCACCUCAGCGUACAACCGCCUCAGCGCCUCUUCCUCUUCAUCUCAGAAGACGGCAUCGAGUGCGGCCGUCCCGUGCUCUCUUUCCCUCCCAGGUCGACCCAGGAGGAGCUCGAGCGGCAGAGCUGGUCCACGGCGCCGUCGUUGUUGGCAGGAGCGUGAGCGCAGACACAGUCGGCUCCCUCCGGCUUUCGUGUCGCCGUCCAUCAACCCGUGAGGUCAGUCCCUGCGUCCUCGCCUCAAUCCUCUCUCGCUGUCACGGAUGCCUUCUCCUCCGUCCUCUCAAUGUUUUGCGAUGAACUGGCUGAAAAAUGCCUGCAUGUCACAGCAGACCCGUACCGAAAGCAUGUGUGUGGUACUGGUAUGUGCCUGCACAGGACCUCCAAAUUUGAUUUAAGUAUCAGUAAUACUGAUUAGAGUUUACAUGAGAAAAUACACUUAUUUACUGUUGGGAAUCUACUUCACGCUGUCAGGCACCUUCCUCCUUUCUCUCCUCUACAGAUUGAUACGACUGUAUAUGUAUACGUUUUACUGUCAAUUAAUCUCCCCCACCUUUUACACUUUUUAAUGCAUAAUGAAUUUUGUGGUGUUGUUCUUUAUAAUAAAAACAAUCUUCGCAGGAAGAGAUAUAUCGAUGGCCAAGAACUCCUGGAGCACCCGCUCGGUUCAUCUCAUGUAUAUUCGCAGGUUAGUUGCAUGGAUAAGGCCUUCCCAACCGGGCACGCCCAAGAACGCCUCCUGCAGGAGGGCGCCGCCGCCGUCCCGACCAGCACUCCCCCGCCGUCCUACCACGCCCGGACCGCCACGGCAGGUUGGGCCGCAGGAGCAAGGGAGAUGGUCGAUGGGGAGACGGCCCCGCCUCUGAUGCAGCUGGAGACGCUGCUGGCGCUCGGCCUGGACCAGCGCAUGGCGGAGAACGCGCUGGUCAACAGCAAAGUCACCUAGCCUCCGUCAUAGCCAAGAACCAGGGCAAAUAUGGGAGCUCCAUCAAGGCUUUGGGAGGUCACUUGAUCUGGACUCCCUCUUCCUCCACUACAGCGGCCGAAACCUGCAGUUGCUGCCGGCUGAGACCGGCCAGGACGCCGACAACGGAUUUGACUCCUACACCAAUCUCAUCAAGGUUGUUGUUGGAAAGUCAAAAAGCUACACGGGAAGACCUUCGACAAUAAUUUCAGCCCCAAAGGAACAAAGGUGGCGACACCGUUAUCACGGCAAGCAAGCUGGCAUUCAGUUCAGCUUCUUGACGCGGUUCGGCAUGAUGGCGGCGCAGAUGAAGGCAUUCCUCGACUCCACUGGCGCCUCCGGCAGGAGCAGAGCAUCUCCGGCAAUCUCGCAGGCGUCUUCUUUGCCACGGGCACCUAGGGCUGGCACGCCAUUGUAAAGAUGGGUUAAGCGUAUGCCUUAGCAGGGACGCGUUGCGUGUUAUUUAUAGGCACAAGAGAUUACAGGGUUUAGGUAGUUAGGUUGUUGUAGGAUUGAUCUCCAAGUCAUAAUCUAUACAAAGGAUAGAGAUCAACCUAAACAUAUCCUAACUACCUGAUUACAACACGCACAUGCCAACACAUAUAUACGGUUUAUAUGUACACCGUAUACAUCCUAUAAUACAUACUUUAACACGCCCCCUCAAUCACAACUUUAACAAGUUGAAAUUGUUCUUGAA